RNAcentral lists this small RNA (108 nucleotides) under uncultured Johnsonella sp. RNAcentral's name for it is "Ribosomal protein L10 leader". It matches the Rfam family "Ribosomal protein L10 leader". Rfam says of the family: This family is a putative r-protein leader autoregulatory structure found in B. subtilis and other low-GC Gram-positive bacteria. It is located in the 5' untranslated regions of mRNAs encoding ribosomal proteins L10 and L12 (rplJ-rplL). Lineage: Bacteria; Bacillati; Bacillota; Clostridia; Lachnospirales; Lachnospiraceae. The record is from RNAcentral.
UUAGUUAUAUACUGCCGAAGACAGUAGGUGCUUAUGCAUAAAUCCUACCGAGGAAGUAAAUUUAGAAAUAAAUUUAUGCCCCUGUCUUUGGAUGGGGGCAUUUUACAU